CGGGACACGUGGUAUCCUGUCUGAAUAUGGGGGGACCAUCCUCCAAGGCUAAAUACUCCUGACUGACCGAUAGUGAACCAGUACCGUGAGGGAAAGGCGAAAAGAACCCCGGCGAGGGGAGUGAAAAAGAACCUGAAACCGUGUACGUACAAGCAGUGGGAGCACAGAGCAAUCUGUGUGACUGCGUACCUUUUGUAUAAUGGGUCAGCGACUUAUAUUCUGUAGCAAGGUUAACCGAAUAGGGGAGCCGAAGGGAAACCGAGUCUUAACUGGGCGUUAAGUUGCAGGGUAUAGACCCGAAACCCGGUGAUCUAGCCAUGGGCAG
This 325-nucleotide ribosomal RNA is filed under the name Escherichia coli. Its description in RNAcentral is "bacterial LSU rRNA". It matches the Rfam family "Bacterial large subunit ribosomal RNA", at positions 418 to 743 of the family's 2925-position model. Lineage: Bacteria; Pseudomonadati; Pseudomonadota; Gammaproteobacteria; Enterobacterales; Enterobacteriaceae. The record is from RNAcentral.